RNAcentral lists this long non-coding RNA (904 nucleotides) under Hordeum vulgare. Its description in RNAcentral is "long non-coding RNA (HVUL_LNC003459)". Lineage: Eukaryota; Viridiplantae; Streptophyta; Magnoliopsida; Poales; Poaceae. The record is from RNAcentral.
AUCUAUGGCAGAACCAAAAAUAAGGAGCCGCCUUCAGUGGACCUUUCACGAGUAAAUCACGGCAUCUAGUCAGGUUUCCUUUCUCCAAUAUGGCUAAAGAAUUACCCCAUUUGACACCAGAAAUCAACUCAGCAUCAAGCUCUAUCUAAAUCAAUAAUGCUCUUUGGUAGUCCCUUUUUCAUGUUUUCAUUUGAUUCGAUCUAAAACUUCUGAAGGUAAUAAAUUAGAGUCUCUCAUGCACUUAUUGAUAGCGUAAUUUAGUGAUGUAUGUUGCCGAAAGGAUUUUUUGGGCUAAUAUUUUCACACCCUGGUUUGCACUUGGUUAUCACAGAAAUGUGGAGUAGCUUGUUUUGUAUUGUCUUACAUGUCUGCUAAUUAUUGUGUCAUUGACUCCUUCUUGUGUCAGUGCUUAAAUUCCUCCAGUAAAGCGAAAAUACCAUAAAGAUAUUGAGUUUGUUUGUCUGCAUUUCCUUUGUCUAGAAUUUCCUGGAACAAUCUUAGAUAGUUUGAAGUUUAAUUUUCAAUUUCUGUGACCUGUUUAGGUUGGACUCAUUAUACUCCAGAAUUUAUAUCUCAAGAUUUUUAACACCAUCUUCAGGAUGAACACAAAUCUUUUUAUUUCUAAUAUUUUUUAUAUUUGUUUCCUUUUGAUUGAUUCAUGUGCAGUGUAAUGUUCUUGUAGGUUGACAAGUUGUGGCAUCUCGAGCAUGCCUCAUAGGAGAGCGGAAUGAAGUCCACUAUACUGUUGGGACAGUAGCAGAUGUGCCAUUGUUUUAUUGUGUAAUUUUGUUUGUUCUUGCUAUAUUCCUGUGUAAGAAAAUGUAUUCAUGAGAUGAUUUAUUAUGUUAUGUAAACAUGGGAUAUGUAUUUUGUGAUGUUAUAUGAUGGAUGAUUUUUAUUCGAC